This 279-nucleotide ribosomal RNA is filed under the name uncultured bacterium. RNAcentral's name for it is "partial 16S ribosomal RNA". It matches the Rfam family "Bacterial small subunit ribosomal RNA", at positions 506 to 784 of the family's 1533-position model. The record is from RNAcentral.
UGCCAGCAGCCGCGGUAACACGGGGGGCGCAAGCGUUAUUCGGAAUUAUUGGGCGUAAAGGGCGCGCAGGCGGCCUUGUCCGUCAGGUGUGAAAGCUCGGGGCUCAACCCUGGACGUGCAUUUGAAACAGCAAGACUUGAAUACUGGAGAGGAGAGCGGAAUUCCUGGUGUAGAGGUGAAAUUCGUAGAUAUCAGGAGGAACACCGAUGGCGAAGGCAUCUCUCUGGGCCGAUAUUGACGCUGAGGCGCGAAGGCGUGGGUAGCGAACGGGAUUAGAUA